This 253-nucleotide ribosomal RNA is filed under the name uncultured bacterium. RNAcentral describes it as "partial 16S ribosomal RNA". It matches the Rfam family "Bacterial small subunit ribosomal RNA", at positions 524 to 776 of the family's 1533-position model. The record is from RNAcentral.
UACGUAGGGUGCGAGCGUUAAUCGGAAUUACUGGGCGUAAAGCGUGCGCAGGCGGUUUUGUAAGCCAGAUGUGAAAGCCCCGGGCUUAACCUGGGAAUGGCAUUUGGGACUGCAAGGCUUGAGUGCGGCAGAGGAGACUGGAAUUCCUGGUGUAGCAGUGAAAUGCGUAGAUAUCGGCAGGAACACCCAGGGGGAAACCAGCCGACUGGGCAUCUGCUGACGCUGAGGUGCGAGAGCGUGGGGAGCGAACCGG